UACGGAGGGUGCAAACGUUGCUCGGAAUUAUUGGGCGUAAAGCGCACGUAGGUGGCUCGUUAAGUCGGAUGUGAAAGCCCCAGGCUCAACCUGGGAAGUGCAUACGAAACUGGCGAGCUUGAAUAUGGAAGAGGGUCGCGGAAUUCCCGGUGUAGAGGUGAAAUUCGUAGAUAUCGGGAGGAACACCAGUGGCGAAGGCGGCGACCUGGGCCAAUAUUGACGCUGAGGUGCGAAAGCGUGGGGAGCAAACAGG
RNAcentral lists this ribosomal RNA (253 nucleotides) under uncultured bacterium. RNAcentral describes it as "partial 16S ribosomal RNA". It matches the Rfam family "Bacterial small subunit ribosomal RNA", at positions 524 to 776 of the family's 1533-position model. The record is from RNAcentral.